RNAcentral lists this ribosomal RNA (427 nucleotides) under uncultured Caryophanales bacterium. RNAcentral's name for it is "bacterial SSU rRNA". It matches the Rfam family "Bacterial small subunit ribosomal RNA", at positions 356 to 774 of the family's 1533-position model. Lineage: Bacteria; Bacillati; Bacillota; Bacilli; Caryophanales. The record is from RNAcentral.
GGGGAAUCUUCCGCAAUGGGCGAAAGCCUGACGGAGCAACGCCGCGUGAACGAAGAAGGUCUUCGGAUCGUAAAGUUCUGUUGUUAAGGGCGAAGGAUGCUUAUUAUAAUACAGUAAGUAUUUGACGGUACUUAACGAGGAAGCCACGGCUAACUACGUGCCAGCAGCCGCGGUAAUACGUAGGUGGCAAGCGUUGUCCGGAAUUAUUGGGCGUAAAGCGCGCGCAGGUGGUUUCUUAAGUCUGAUGUGAAAGCCCACGGCUUAACCGUGGAGGGUCAUUGGAAACUGGGAGACUUGAGUGCAGAAGAGGAAAGUGGAAUUCCAAGUGUAGCGGUGAAAUGCGUAGAGAUUUGGAGGAACACCAGUGGCGAAGGCGACUUUCUGGUCUGCAACUGACGCUGAGGCGCGAAAGCAUGGGGAGCAAACA